Molecule: long non-coding RNA, 778 nt
Organism: Biomphalaria glabrata
Lineage: Eukaryota; Metazoa; Mollusca; Gastropoda; Planorbidae
Exons: 2
Source: RefSeq, a predicted model, not a curated record
UGGCUAGAAGAAGAAGAAGAAGAACUUGAUAGGCUAUAAAUAUAAGUGUAAAAUAUUUUUUAAUGUGUAUAAGAUGCAUGUCCAGAUAAAGGUGCUACAACUGACCAACUUUAAAAAUAAUGAUAUAUGAAGAUAAACUAAAUCAUGAAUAGUGAUGUGCCUUUAAAACUGUUUCAUGGGAGUAAAACAUCCAGACACAACAGAAUGCAACAACAGAUGUAUCGGAAGCUCAAAAUCAGAAACUGAAAUCUGCCCAUGUGGAGUGUCACCAGAGAAUGCUGACCAUCUCCUCCAAAACUGCUCUCUUUACCAAGAGGCUGUACAUGACACUGGCCCAUAAACACCCCAAUAGAAAGAAAACUAUAUGGAGAGUUCCCUGAUUUGGAAACCACUGCGAAAAUAAUCUCAUAUACUGGUCCAGUCAUCUGAAUGCUCCACUAAAAAAAUGAGAAGGAAGAAGAAAGAAGAUUGAGCGGAAAUUCGUAGUGUUGGCACAGAAGCUGGAAUGUUUGCUAUCAGGGCUCGUAGGAAGAUGGCUACAGAGAAAGAUUUUCUGGAAGCAGUAAAUAAAGUCAUCAAAGCCUACGCCAAAUCUAGUGCAACUCCUUGCUACAUGACUUACAAUGAAAUCAAUAGUAGCUUGAUAGAAAUGUCUACUAGAGAAUCAGUACAGAACUUGUGUUUACUCACUGAUCUGAUUUUAAACUUAAGUGAAUCAUUGUUUGUAUUCAUGAUGUUUUAUUUCAACUUAUUAAAUCAUGGUAUCUUUCUUAUUAAA